RNAcentral lists this RNase P RNA (367 nucleotides) under Chloroflexota bacterium. Its description in RNAcentral is "Chloroflexi bacterium (groundwater metagenome) RNase P RNA component class A". It matches the Rfam family "Bacterial RNase P class A". From Rfam's summary of the family: Ribonuclease P (RNase P) is a ubiquitous endoribonuclease, found in archaea, bacteria and eukarya as well as chloroplasts and mitochondria. Its best characterised activity is the generation of mature 5'-ends of tRNAs by cleaving the 5'-leader elements of precursor-tRNAs. Lineage: Bacteria; Bacillati; Chloroflexota. The record is from RNAcentral.
CAAGAAACCCGGGCGGCCGCUCCCCGAUCCGUCGGGGGGAGGAAAGUCCGAGCUCCUCCGGGCAGGGUGCUGGGUAACGCCCAGGCGGGGCAACCCGACAGAAAGUGCCACAGAAACACACCGCCAGCGGCCCCGACGAAGUCGGGGUGCGGGCAAGGGUGAAAUCGUGAGGUAAGAGCUCACGGCUCCUCUGGCGACAGAGGAGCGGGUAAACCUCACCCGGAGCAAGGCCAAAUAGAGGGACGCAAGGCGCCCGGCCUGUCCCUGGGUCGGCUGCUUGAGCCCGGUGGCAACGCCGGGCCCAGAAGGAUGGCCGCCGCCCCGACUCGUCGGGGUACAGAACUCGGCUUAUAGGGUUUCUUGGCCC